CAGGGAGACAACAAAAUGUUUAAUAUUAUUAUUUUGUCACCUUAGGUCGAUCGGUAUCUCACGUUCUUAAUUUAUUAAGAAUUUCAUUUCCUAAGUUUUUCUAGGUCACACCCAUUAUUUUUCCUGGGCCAUUAGCUCAGGUGGUUAGAGCGCACCCCUGAUAAGGGUGAGGUCCCUGGUUCAAGUCCAGGAUGGCCCAUAUCUCUAUGUUGGGGGUAUAGCUCAGUUGGUAGAGCGCCUGCUUUGCAAGCAGGAUGUCAGCGGUUCGAGUCCGCUUACCUCCACUGAUUACCACCUCUUCCAUAAUCGGUAGAAAGGAAAUGUUCUGAGUUGUGACAAAGUCUGAACGAAUCUAGCUUCCUAAUAAAACCAUUAAGAUGCUGGACUCAUUGAAUUAAUUUCAUUGUUUUCAGAGAACCUUGACAACUGCAUAGAUUAUUUUUAAAGACAAUAAGCAUCUUUAAUGAUGCAGAUUUAUUAUUUGUGCGAACGCAUUAAUAACAAUUCUAUUAAGCUGAUGCUUCAAUUUUGAAGUUAUU
RNAcentral lists this transfer RNA (539 nucleotides) under uncultured Prochlorococcus sp. RNAcentral describes it as "partial 16S-23S ribosomal RNA intergenic spacer". The stretch from base 212 to 284 matches the Rfam family "tRNA". Lineage: Bacteria; Bacillati; Cyanobacteriota; Cyanophyceae; Synechococcales; Prochlorococcaceae. The record is from RNAcentral.